Molecule: ribosomal RNA, 729 nt
Filed under: uncultured Streptomyces sp.
Lineage: Bacteria; Bacillati; Actinomycetota; Actinomycetes; Kitasatosporales; Streptomycetaceae
Description: bacterial SSU rRNA
Rfam family: Bacterial small subunit ribosomal RNA
Source: RNAcentral
GAUACGGGCAGGCUAGAGUUCGGUAGGGGAGAUCGGAAUUCCUGGUGUAGCGGUGAAAUGCGCAGAUAUCAGGAGGAACACCGGUGGCGAAGGCGGAUCUCUGGGCCGAUACUGACGCUGAGGAGCGAAAGCGUGGGGAGCGAACAGGAUUAGAUACCCUGGUAGUCCACGCCGUAAACGGUGGGCACUAGGUGUGGGCGACAUUCCACGUCGUCCGUGCCGCAGCUAACGCAUUAAGUGCCCCGCCUGGGGAGUACGGCCGCAAGGCUAAAACUCAAAGGAAUUGACGGGGGCCCGCACAAGCGGCGGAGCAUGUGGCUUAAUUCGACGCAACGCGAAGAACCUUACCAAGGCUUGACAUACACCGGAAACGUCUGGAGACAGGCGCCCCCUUGUGGUCGGUGUACAGGUGGUGCAUGGCUGUCGUCAGUUCGUGUCGUGAGAUGUUGGGUUAAGUCCCGCAACGAGCGCAACCCUUGUCCCGUGUUGCCAGCAGGCCCUUGUGGUGCUGGGGACUCACGGGAGACCGCCGGGGUCAACUCGGAGGAAGGUGGGGACGACGUCAAGUCAUCAUGCCCCUUAUGUCUUGGGCUGCACACGUGCUACAAUGGCCGGUACAAUGAGCUGCGAUACCGUGAGGUGGAGCGAAUCUCAAAAAGCCGGUCUCAGUUCGGAUUGGGGUCUGCAACUCGACCCCAUGAAGUCGGAGUCGCUAGUAAUCGCAGAUCA